Molecule: ribosomal RNA, 454 nt
Filed under: uncultured bacterium
Lineage: Bacteria
Description: bacterial SSU rRNA
Rfam family: Bacterial small subunit ribosomal RNA
Source: RNAcentral
UGAGGAAUAUUGGACAAUGGGCGCAAGCCUGAUCCAGCCAUGCCGCGUGCAGGAUGACGGUCCUAUGGAUUGUAAACUGCUUUUGUACAGGAAGAAACAGUUCUACGUGUAGAACCUUGACGGUACUGUAAGAAUAAGGAUCGGCUAACUCCGUGCCAGCAGCCGCGGUAAUACGGAGGAUCCAAGCGUUAUCCGGAAUCAUUGGGUUUAAAGGGUCCGUAGGCGGUUAGAUAAGUCAGUGGUGAAAGCCCAUCGCUCAACGGUGGAACGGCCAUUGAUACUGUCUGACUUGAAUUAUUAGGAAGUAACUAGAAUAUGUAGUGUAGCGGUGAAAUGCUUAGAGAUUACAUGGAAUACCAAUUGCGAAGGCAGGUUACUACUAAUGGAUUGACGCUGAUGGACGAAAGCGUGGGUAGCGAACAGGAUUAGAUACCCCGGUAGUCCCUGAGCGGGC